Mus caroli (Ryukyu mouse) is the source of this 1495-nucleotide long non-coding RNA. RefSeq lists it as uncharacterized. NCBI's taxonomy places the organism in Eukaryota, Metazoa, Chordata, Mammalia, Rodentia, Muridae. The record is from RefSeq and is a predicted model, not a curated record.
GUGAAAGGUGAGGUGGGAGGAGUGGAGGAAAACGGAGCUUCUGUGGGCGUGGUCGCGCCGGGGGACAGCCAAUGAAGAAGAAGAGCGCCGGGGCGGGGCAGAAGGCGGUGAGAGCUGGGCGGGGACCAGGGCACUCGUGCCAAGUGACUGGUGCUCGCUUCAGGCUCCUGCUACCUUCUGCGGGCGGAAAGUGGGUGUCCCGGGAAGGGACGGACCCCAUCUCUACUAUGCCGCAAGCGCGUUGUGUCAACAGGCUGGCUGUGGACGGCCCGAUGAGCGUGACUUGAUUUUGUACUUUCUGCCACCUCCAAUUUUCUCAGAACGCAACAUAAGAAAAAGAACUAACAGCGGUGUGUACAGGAUUGCUUCGAAGAUAUGGGUGCUGAUGUUUGGUCAUUGCUAUGGGGGAGGUCGCAGAGCUGAGAGUUUCGGAGGACGCUUUCUGUCUUGUCUAGGCAGUAACACCAGCUCACCAGAUUGCUUCUGUCCUGAACAUGGUUCCUCUUAAAUCUUGGGUCUUCUCAUUGGCUGAAAGGCGUCAGAGAAAUGAGAAUGCCCGUGACCAGCGCAUCUGUAAGCAGAGACAGAUGAAGCGUUAGAGCUGCUGUGUGUGGAGCUGUUCAACCCAGGGUCCAGACUUUUCAAGGGCUACUCUGUUAGUCCGAACUACUCACUGCUGACACUUGGCACCUAGUCUUCACUCUGGGACCCCAGAGACAUUCUUCCCUGCUGUGACUAUGCAUGGGGAGGUGUGUCCACUGCCCGGUAUUUCAGCUUCACAAGAGGUCCCACAGGCGUCUCUCACUUGAAGGACAAGGGCCAGGGAGACCAUGUCAAUGGGAGUUACCUGUAAGGUCACGUGCUGCUGCUUCUGGUUCACUCUCUGACCUCUCCUGAAGAAGCCAAGCUGCAGAGAUGAGCUACAAAGGACAUUCUCAGAGCUGUCAAAAAGGAUCAGAGGAGAAAGGCUUCAAAGAAGACUCCGAGACCAGACCAGCUGUUUGGAAAAAACAGAAGCCAGCUGAGCUGUCUGGAAGAAGUUUAGAUCAACUGAGGCACCUGGAAAGGACAAUCCAUCUCCAACCUGCUGAGCCUCAUGAGUGCUGUGCGUUCCAGGCACCCAGCUUUGUGAGCUGUGGCCCAUGCUGGGGUAGGCUUUGGUGAUACUGCUGGUUUUGAGUCUUUUCUACUCCUGUAAGUAAUUCUUCAUCCAUACUCUUGUGAGUAACCCCAAUAAAACUCAUUGGUCCACCAAACUAGACCUUGGUGGUAUCAUAUUUGGUCUAUUUUGGGUUCCCAGUUUGGUGUGAGUGAACAUGGGUGUUGCAUCUCCCCCCAAAAAAGUUUUGUCACACAAGUGGUAUCAUCCUAAAGACUGGGGUGCUGGGGUGGAAUAAAAAGGGAAAGUCAGUCAGCCUCUCCCUCCCUGCCCGGUCCCCGCUCCUCCCUCUCUAGUGCUCACAGGCUUGCUUUCUCCACCACUCUCUCUCUCCUC